GCGCCCGUAGCUCAGAUGGAUAGAGCACUAGCCUCCGGAGCUAGGGGUCGGGGGUUCGAACCCCUCCGGGCGCGCCA
RNAcentral lists this transfer RNA (77 nucleotides) under Terriglobia bacterium. RNAcentral's name for it is "tRNA-Arg". It matches the Rfam family "tRNA". Rfam says of the family: Transfer RNA (tRNA) molecules are approximately 80 nucleotides in length. Their secondary structure includes four short double-helical elements and three loops (D, anti-codon, and T loops). RNAcentral also lists the same sequence under 2 other names. Lineage: Bacteria; Pseudomonadati; Acidobacteriota; Terriglobia. The record is from RNAcentral.